Molecule: transfer RNA, 71 nt
Filed under: Lachnospiraceae bacterium
Lineage: Bacteria; Bacillati; Bacillota; Clostridia; Lachnospirales; Lachnospiraceae
Description: tRNA-Gly
Rfam family: tRNA
About the family: Transfer RNA (tRNA) molecules are approximately 80 nucleotides in length. Their secondary structure includes four short double-helical elements and three loops (D, anti-codon, and T loops).
Source: RNAcentral
GCACCAGUAGUUCAGCGGCAGAAUGCAAGCUUCCCAAGCUUGAUAUGCGGGUUCGACCCCCGUCUGGUGCU